Molecule: long non-coding RNA, 877 nt
Organism: Parus major (Great Tit)
Lineage: Eukaryota; Metazoa; Chordata; Aves; Passeriformes; Paridae
Exons: 3
Source: RefSeq, a predicted model, not a curated record
GAAUGUUGUUCCACAGAACCAUCCAGUCAAGGAGGACACGCGAAGGGACCUUCCACCAUUCUCUUCUAAGACAGAGCUUAGCAAUUUGAGCAAAGAAAAAGCCCGCCACUGAUGCCUUCUAUUACCAACAGCUCUGAAACCAAACUGGUGUGAGAUCAGAGAUUCAAAAAUACUGCCAGAAAAUACAACCAGAGUUUUUCACUACUGCAAGGACUCUAACAAGAUGGAUUUUGGCAGUACUGGUGAAUCACACAAAAAUGAAUGCUUUGGUGAGAAAAGCUAGAAACCUCUGGCAUGUUGGGAAAUCUGGAGUGCUACAUUCUACAUUUCCACUUUCAGAUCAAGUCUCCCUCUCCUUGCAGUGACUUAUAUUUGUUGUUAACCUUAUCAGUGGAUAAAUAACAUCUACUAAGGAAAGCAAUUUUAACAGUUAGUCCUUAAGAGAACUUAACAGAGUAUGAAGCUGAAGUCAAAUAAAAGAUGUAUACUCAGAAGACUAAAGUACCUGUAUUUUUCAUAAUCAAUUCUUAAAAUAUUUUCAGCAUAUUCACAGGACAAACUUCUUUUAUUGUCUAUCUUUGGAAUAAUGAUGUAUUAAAAUCCAUAACUAUAUAAUUAAAUAGUGACUUUAUUUGGUAAAGAUAUAGUACCUAUUUUAUAAAUUUCCAUCACAGUUUUUGGUUGGGUGGGUUUUUCAAUUCUAAAAUAGCUGGUAUCCAAAAAGGAGAGGGGUAAUUAAAAGCAAAGUAAUGAAAUAUUUCCUUGAAGAUUCCCCACAAAUUUUAUGAAUAAUCAGAGAAAAUACUAAUUUUUAUUCAGUUACAGGCUAUUCCUGCUCAAACUUACUGUUAAUUGUCCCAGACUGAAGCACAUGAAA